CCUACGGGUGGCAGCAGUGAGGAAUAUUGGUCAAUGGUCGGGAGACUGAACCAGCCAAGCCGCGUGAGGGAGGAAGGUACAGAGUAUCGUAAACCUCUUUUGUCAGGGAACAAAGGCGGGGACGUGUCCCCGGAUGAGUGUACCUGAAGAAAAAUCAUCGGCUAACUCCGAUCCAGCAGCGGCGGUAAUACGGAGGAGGCGAGCGUUAUCCGGAUUGAUUGGGUCAAAGGGGGGCGCAGGCGGUCUGUUAAGCCAGCGGUCAAAGCCCGGGGCUCAACCCCGGCCCGCCGUUGAUACUGGCAGUCUCGAGUUGGAGAGGAGUAUGCGGAAUGCGCGGUGUAGCGGUGAAAUGCAUAGAUAUCGCGCAGAACUCUGAUGGCGAAGGCAGCAUGCCGGCUCCACACUGACGCUGAGGCACGAAAGCGUGGGUAUCGAACAGGAUUAGAUACCCCGGUAGUC
Molecule: ribosomal RNA, 459 nt
Filed under: uncultured bacterium
Lineage: Bacteria
Description: partial 16S ribosomal RNA
Rfam family: Bacterial small subunit ribosomal RNA
Source: RNAcentral